Molecule: non-coding RNA, 26 nt
Filed under: Mus musculus (house mouse)
Lineage: Eukaryota; Metazoa; Chordata; Mammalia; Rodentia; Muridae
Source: RNAcentral
AUAUAUAGGUGCAUAUUGCUUGAUGG